RNAcentral lists this long non-coding RNA (762 nucleotides) under Oryzias javanicus (javanese ricefish). RNAcentral's name for it is "lncRNA (ENSOJAG00000012076.1)". The record is from RNAcentral. Lineage: Eukaryota; Metazoa; Chordata; Actinopteri; Beloniformes; Adrianichthyidae.
ACACUUGGCCAUAAUAACAUGUAGAAGAAGUGAGGUGAACUGUGAAUUCUUUCAGAUGCAUAGUACCUCACUAAUGUCUUGCUGUGUGGACUCAUGUUUGCAGGGGUGUCCACUGUGAGAAACAACGUACAGCUACCUCUACACCUGUGACAUCAUCAUCACAUCUCUGCUGAGGCUGCUCGCUGUUCUGGGAGCAGAAGGAGAAAAGAGAGGACUUUGACUCUCUGUCAUUCAUCGAGCUGCUUGUGGUGGAUCAUUCAGACAUCUUCCUCAUGCAGAACUGGAAACACGUCCUGUCGACUCAUCCAGAGUCAGGACGUGGAACCUGAACACUCGGGGCAGAUGCUACAUGGAGACGCUGGUGUUCAGCUUCAUCCAGAACCCACAGAUUGAUAACACCUCACCAAACGUUGUUCCAACUACAGAGGACAGAUGGGAUUCAGAUGUUUUCUUCCCUGGAGCUUCGAUGAUCACAAUACCUGGUUUUCUUGUCUUUUUCCCUUGACGUGCCUAAUAAAUCCUCAGAUCAGUUUGGGAGGCCAACUCGUUCCUGUUUUCAGAUGGAAGAAGGAGAAUGCUUCACAAAUGGAUGUCAGUUUUUUCUGGGAAACAUCAAAGAAUUUCUAGUUUCUUGAAAUAAUAAAAAAAAUGCUAAAAUUUCAGUUUGGUCUUAUUGUAGUUAACUUCAAGCAUACUACAUGGUUAAGUUAGUAUACUGAAAUCAGCUGUACUGAAUACUGUUAUAUACUUUGCCUAAAGGAU